Molecule: transfer RNA, 76 nt
Filed under: uncultured Acidimicrobiaceae bacterium
Lineage: Bacteria; Bacillati; Actinomycetota; Acidimicrobiia; Acidimicrobiales; Acidimicrobiaceae
Description: tRNA-Thr
Rfam family: tRNA
About the family: Transfer RNA (tRNA) molecules are approximately 80 nucleotides in length. Their secondary structure includes four short double-helical elements and three loops (D, anti-codon, and T loops).
Source: RNAcentral
AGCCGGUGUGGCGCAGUGGUAGCGCAACUGAUUUGUAAUCAGUAGGUCGUGGGUUCGACCCCCACCGCCGGCUCCC